GAUGAACGCUGGCGGCGUGCCUAAUACAUGCAAGUCGAGCGAACAGACGAGGAGCUUGCUCCUCUGACGUUAGCGGCGGACGGGUGAGUAACACGUGGAUAACCUACCUAUAAGACUGGGAUAACUUCGGGAAACCGGAGCUAAUACCGGAUAAUAUAUUGAACCGCAUGGUUCAAUAGUGAAAGACGGUUUUGCUGUCACGUAUAGAUGGAUCCGCGCCGCAUUAGCUAGUUGGUAAGGUAACGGCUUACCAAGGCAACGAUGCGUAGACGACCUGAGAGAGUGAUCGGCCACCCUGGAGCUGAGACACGGUCCAGACUCCUACGGGACGCAGCAGUAGGGAAUCUUCCGCAAUGGGCGAAAGCCUGACGGAGCAACGCCGCGUGAGUGAUGAAGGUCUUCGGAGCGUAAAACUCUGUUAUUAGGGAAGAACAAAUGUGUAAGUAACUAUGCACGUCUUGACGGUACCUAAUCAGAAAGCCACGGCUAACUACGUG
Molecule: ribosomal RNA, 497 nt
Filed under: uncultured bacterium
Lineage: Bacteria
Description: partial 16S ribosomal RNA
Rfam family: Bacterial small subunit ribosomal RNA
Source: RNAcentral